UACGGAGGGUGCAAGCGUUAUCCGGAUUCACUGGGUUUAAAGGGUGCGUAGGCGGCUAGGUAAGUCCGUGGUGAAAUCCUGCAGCUUAACUGCAGAACUGCCAUGGAUACUAUUUAUCUUGAAUGUCGUGGAGGUUAGCAGAAUAUGUCAUGUAGCGGUGAAAUGCUUAGAGAUGACAUAGAAUACCCAUUGCGAAGGCAGCUAACUACGCGAUAAUUGACGCUCAUGCACGAAAGCGUGGGGAUCAAACAGG
RNAcentral lists this ribosomal RNA (253 nucleotides) under uncultured bacterium. RNAcentral describes it as "partial 16S ribosomal RNA". It matches the Rfam family "Bacterial small subunit ribosomal RNA", at positions 524 to 776 of the family's 1533-position model. The record is from RNAcentral.